CGGGUGCCGUCGUGGCGCGGUGCAGCGCGGGGUCGCCAUGGCAGACGUGCAGCAGCUUCGGGUGCAGGAGGCGGUGGACACCAUGGUGAAGAGUCUGGAGAGAGAGAAUAUCUGGAAGAUGCAGGGCGUCAUGUUCCGGGGCAGCGCUGACUGUUGUGAGGACAGCCAGGCGUCCAUGCAGCAGGUGCACCAGUGCAUUGAGCGCUGCCACGCACCUCUGGCUCAAGCCCAGACCCUGGUUACCAGCGAGUCGGAGAAGUUCCAGGACCGCCCGGCCCGGUGCACCAUGCAUUGCAACGACAAAGCCAAAGACUCCAUAGAUGCAGGGAGCAAAGAGCAUCAGGUGAAGCGGCAGCUGGAGAGUUGUGUGACCAAGUGCCUGGAUGACCAUAUGAACCUCAUUCCCACCAUGACCAAGGAGAUGAAGUCUCUCUCAUCCAUUCAGAAAUAGCAGUCUUUGCCAUUGGCCAUGGAGGCUGAGGGCAGGAACCUAUUUAAAAUGAAGAGUGCGAAUGUUGGUCUUUUAAGCAGUUUAGGGAUGAAGAAAUUCAGGAUGGCAGCAAGUUUAAGGCAUGUGUCACUUGCCAGUGGUCUGGUGGGAGGGGAGGGGAGGUAUUUCUGUUUGUUGCCAACCUCCUGUCUACCAGAAGCAUUACCACACCAUUGUCCAUAAGCUGUGAAACAAAACCCAUGAGGUUACUAAUUGAGAAGUGGAAAACGGUUUCUGAGUAUUUGUUUGGUUUGGUUUUGUUUUAUGUACAAGGACAUAAAGUUCAUUUAAAAUGUGGAGUUGAGGGAGGUAGUUUGCAUAAGAACUUGAAAAGGUUCCUUUGGAUAGAUAUCAUUUCUGUCCAAGAUGCAGACAUGCAUUUAAAUGCUCACACAUUACACCUUUCAGCUCGGAAACCUACAGAAACAUGAGAGGCAAUGUCAGCCUGGACCUGGGA
RNA transcript from Myotis davidii, 947 nucleotides. It is a transcript of the gene named protein FAM136A pseudogene, with no coding region annotated. Lineage: Eukaryota; Metazoa; Chordata; Mammalia; Chiroptera; Vespertilionidae. The transcript has a single exon. The record is from RefSeq and is a predicted model, not a curated record.